GAUCUCCACAUGGCCGUGCUCACAAGCACACAUCAGUGCUGUGGACCCAUCGUCAUCCUGCAGGUUGACAUCGGCGGCACAAUCCAGCAGAGCCUUGACCAUGUCAAUUCGCCCGUGGCUGACUGCUAGCAUCAGUGCCGUCUGCCCUGCCUGCAGGAGGACAAGGAGGACGGAAGAGGGAGGGUCUGUGCUGUCAUCUUUUCUCUUCAUGAUGGACUUUAUCCCAGCUGGCAAUGAGGCUAGGAGGCAGAAAAAGGGACCACAGACAAGACUACCACCAGGGGCAAGACUAACCUUGCACCUGGAGCAAGUUCCAUCAACCAAGAACGAGGAAGACAGAGAAGCCCUGAGUGGGUCUGGAAACACUAGAAGAGGAAAUCAGGAAUCGUAACUCAAAGGAUGAAAGGGUUGGAAAGCUAGGACCUAUGAAGAGAGGCAAUCUAAAGAAAUUGGGAUUACUCAGGGUAAGGAAUAGCAUUUGUGACUGACUCAGACCUUAAGAAGGGCCAUUACCAGCUGGUCAUCAUCGCCGAGGACAAAACCAAAGGAAAUGGGCUGAAAUUUGUAGCAGGAGGGAUUAAGUUUGGAUAAAGAAUGAACCUCUUCCCAAUGGCAAGGGGCAGGGGGGAUUGUUAAACCACGGAAGACAUCCCUACUCCUCCCUAGCCCACCAUCGGUCCUGCGAGAGGCGAGGGAAGGAUGACAUGCCCUCCAGAGAGCCCUUCCACCAUGCGGAUUCUGUAAUUCUGAGUCCCUUCUUUCCUCUCCUGUCGAGCCAUGUCGUCUCUUGCUUGCAGAGCUGAAUAAACUCACUGUGCAGUG
This is a long non-coding RNA of Ornithorhynchus anatinus (platypus), 822 nucleotides long. RefSeq lists it as uncharacterized. NCBI's taxonomy places the organism in Eukaryota, Metazoa, Chordata, Mammalia, Monotremata, Ornithorhynchidae. The record is from RefSeq and is a predicted model, not a curated record. The transcript has 3 exons.